This 738-nucleotide long non-coding RNA is filed under the name Equus caballus (horse). RNAcentral describes it as "lncRNA (ENSECAG00000035805.3)". The record is from RNAcentral. Lineage: Eukaryota; Metazoa; Chordata; Mammalia; Perissodactyla; Equidae.
UUUAGAAGUCGUUUCAAGUUGUUCUGCAUGACUGACUGACUGCUGCUUUCUGCCGCCCCGGUGUCUCCACUUUAUGCCUCCCCACACGGAAAACCCACUGCCGGGUCCCAAAAAAUGGUACAAGAAAGGUAAUGCAGAACCCGAGCUUCUUGGCAUUUACAGUUCCGUUUAGGAAACAAAAUGGAAAUAACUGUAAAGAAAAUUGUGAGCCGUUUCUGCAAUAAAUGUUUAAGAGUCGAACAAGCAGAUUUGAGAAGAAAGAACUCACGAUAUGACAAGGGAACGCUUCAGGCCGACAGUGGGAUGAGAGCAGAGUCCUUUAUGAGAGCGAAAUUUGAAAGAAGAAACAGGAUACAGUACAACGAGAUUAACCAGGAAAGAGCCAGCAACCUGUUCAACCUCCCGUCCAGAUGGAGGUGUCAGCCUCAGCCAUAAGCCUGAUCGUGGCGAACAAUUUCCAGUGCUGAACAUCCCAAAACUCAUCUGCUGGGCAUUAAAACUCGAGAAAUUCCCACAUUAACUACUGCCAGAGUUUUUGUCAGCAAAAUAUAACCAUGGUUUAUCACCCAAAGUUGAUACAUUUUUAUCCAAAAGGAAAUACAGUUGAUCCUCAUUACUCACAGAGCCUGUAUUUGUGAAUUUGUCUAUUCGCUAGCAUUUACUUGUAAUCCUAAAAAUCAAUUCUUGUGGUGCCUUCAUUGUGGUUCAUGGACAUGCACAGAGGGUGGAAUUCUCAAG